GACGUAGGGCGCGAGCGUUGUCCGGAAUUAUUGGGCGUAAAGAGCUCGUAGGCGGCUUGUUGCGUCGGCUGUGAAAACCCGCGGCUUAACCGUGGGCUUGCAGCCGAUACGGGCGGGCUAGAGUUCGGUAGGGGAGACUGGAAUUCCUGGUGUAGCGGUGAAGUGCGCAGAUAUCAGGAGGAACACCGGUGGCGAAGGCGGGUCUCUGGGCCGAUACUGACGCUGAGGAGCGAAAGCGUGGGGAGCGAACAGG
This 253-nucleotide ribosomal RNA is filed under the name uncultured prokaryote. RNAcentral's name for it is "partial 16S ribosomal RNA". It matches the Rfam family "Bacterial small subunit ribosomal RNA", at positions 524 to 776 of the family's 1533-position model. The record is from RNAcentral.